AGGCGGGGGGUGCGUCUUCACACACCUGGGCAACAGGAUGCUUGUUGUCCACCAGUUGGUCUUUACCUCCUUUUAAGUGAAUGAUUUUUAUCUGGACUCUUAGCUGACUGGAAUAAAGGUUCCAUUUCCCAGCCUCUCCUGUGGCCGGGUGUGGCCGUACCGUUUACUUUUGGCUGGUAGGAUGUUAGCAGAAGCCUGUGUGUGUAGCUUCCACACUGUGUCCUUAAGUGGACUAGAAGAUGCCUUUCUUCUCUCUUUUUCCCUUCCUACUGACUGGAAGACAGGUGCGAUGACGGGGGCUUUGGCAAUCACUUUGAGCAUGAAGUCACCUUGGGAAUGGAGAUUGCACGUGGUGGUGUAGCGUAGAGGAGUCUGCUUCUCUGCCCCCAUGGAUUAUUUAGCACCCUUAUCUCCGGACUUCAUGAACAUGAGAGAGAGACAAUUUUUGUUUUUGUUUAAGUCGCUCUUAUUUGGGAAUUUUAUAGUUUUGACAGCUGAUACUUAUUCUGGUUUACACUCUCAUAUACCGUUUGUGAAGGUAAAACUCUCCACUCCCUAGAGAAAUAAUCAAGGUCUACACCAUUUGGUACUUCCAUGGUUUGUGCAUCCUGUGCAAUGGCCUCUCUUCUCAGCCCAACUUCUGCUGGUUCAGCAGCAAAAAGGGUGAAUUGUGAUCUCUGAGACAACUGGCUUAGAGAGGGGCAAUGUAUAUAUAGGGGUGAGUUUUGGCCAGUGGGAAAGAGUGGAAGGGCUUCUGUUUUGCCUUAUGGUUUACUCUCUCUUUAGAUGUCCAAGGUUAAAGUUACCUCAUCAUAACAAGGAUUAAUUUCCUUCCAACUGUAGCCAUUUGAUUAUUGUGAAAAGCUCAUAUUCCUCUCAUGUACAUACAUUUGACACUAUUUUAUGUAAACUUGUGCCGAGGCCCUUUUAUGUUGUGGGGUGGGGGGGAAUACCCUUUUUGUCCUGGGUCACACUGCCAAGCCGUAUUACCUUAACUGACAAUGAAGGACUUCUGCCCAAAUGCCUUUCCUGUCCUUAGGGUAAGGGCUGGGGAUAGAAGAAAUUUUACUUCCAUUGCCCUCCAAAUUUGGGGCAUGCUGGGCAAAGACCGGGAGGCAGGACGUGGAAGUGGGGAAAGAAGAGGGAAAAAUCAGAAGGAGUAGCAGGGGUGGGAGGUGCCCACACCCCACUGUAGAAGACAAGGUCUAAGGGGGCUUGUCUUCGUGAUCUUUGCCCCCUGGUAUUCAUGCCCUUAUCCCUUCCCUUGAGUGUAGACAGACCCAGUGGCUUGCCUCUAAUCCAUAGGACACAGCAAAGGUAAUUAGACCAAGAUGACAUGUAGGUGAUCACAGUAUAUACAACUGUAAUUCCCACUUUGCAGGGAGACCCCUUCCUUUGCUGCCUUUGAAGAAGAGAAUUGCCAUUGUCGUGAGCUGUCUGUGGAGGAUGUGUUAUGGCAGGAAGCUGAGUCAACAGGAAGCCAAAGUGCUCUGUCCUUCUACUGCAAGACAUUAAAUGCUGCAGCAACCUGAAUGAACUCAGGAGUGGAUCCUUCACUAGUCGAGCCCCAUAUGAGACUGCAGCCCAAUCCACACUUUGAUCAGAGCCUGGGAGACACUGGACAAGGGACCCAACUAAGUUGUUCCUGGACUCUUAACAUAUCAAAACUGUGAGAUAAUGAAUGUGUGCUGUCUUAAGCUAGUAAUUUUGCAGUAAUAACUGCUAUACAACAAUAGGUAAUUGAUACAUCUAUAAUAAGGAAUUUGGCUUUAGAAAGGAAAAGAAAAUGCAAACUCUUUUGAUGAAGGCUUUUCAGACCAAGAUAAUUAUACUCUGGAAGACUGGAGAUAGAAACACAGCAGAUGAGGACAAAGAUUAGCCUUACGCUGUCCUGAAUAUUUUUAAGUAGGAAGGAAUAGGCUGAAUGGCCACAAAGAAUGCUGGAAGUUCAGCAGUCCAGAGACAAAAGUAACUAGAAAUGGAAAGGAAACUAACAGUGGGAAUUAGCAAGGAACAUGGUGUAUAAAGAUUUGUGACAGAGGGGUGUCUGGGUGGCUCAGCUGGUUAAGCGUCCAGCUUCGGCUCAGGUCAUGAUCUCACGGUUUGUGGGUUCAAGCUCAGUGUCAGGCUCUGUGCUGAUAGCUCAGAGCCUGGAGCCAUCCUCGGAUUCUGUGUGUCCCUCUCUUUCUGCCCCUCCCCUGCUCACACUCUGUCUGUCUCUGUCUCCCAAAAAUGAAUAAACGUUAAAAAAAUUUUUUUUUUAAGAUUUGUGACACAGAGAGGGAACAGUUGGUCUCUUUUAGGAUAGAAGGAUUGAAGCAAAUGCAAAAAGAACACUAUAUUUUACAAAAGUGACCAACAUUGGGGUUUGGGUCACAGUGCUGGAGAAAGUGGAGGUGGUAGUGACAGGUUGAGGAGUGUCUGCCCUCAGAUUGUGGGUGGCAGGGCAGAGGAGCAUUUCUGAGAAAGGAUUGCUUCAGGGGGCAGAGCAGUUAGAGGGACUCAUGGUCUGCCCCCAUGGGCUCUGGGUUGGAAAGCCUGUGUCUGAGUCCCAGAUCCGUGGACAUAAUCUGUGUCACUUUGGCCAAAUGACUUCAUCUCUCCAAGCCUUGGUUUCCACAUAUGUAAAGCAGGACUCAUUAUAAGAUUGGUCUCACUGGAUUAUUAUGCCCUGUCAGUGAGGUAAGGCACCAGAAGGGUCCAUCGUGGCACAUGAUAAAGUCCUAAUCAGUGAUAGCUUUAAAAAAAAUAGGGACUGUUUUUUUCCUUUCUUUAUUUCUUGCGUUUCUUAAAUUCCACAUAGGAGUAUGUUAAUUAUACUUUAAUUACAAAAAUAAAUAAGUACAUAAUUUUUAAAAAUGACUGGAUGAGAAGUUCUAAGAUUCGGUCAAGUUCAGGCUUUCCAAAGUACUUGUAGUGUUUGGAAGCAAAUGGUAUCCCCUUUUUGAACUAAGGUGGCCCAUGAGGGGGUCGUGAUUAUUCCAACCAGUGAUUUUUCUUCCUUGGCUAUGUAUUGAAAUUACGUGGGAGACUUACAACAUAUUGAUGCUAAGGACCCCACCUCUAGAGAUUCUGGUUUAAUUGGUCCGGGGUAUGGUCUGAGCAUGAGGAUGUUGAAAACUCUCCCAGAUGAUGCUAAUGUGUAGCCAAGCUUGAGAAUCACUGCUUUAUUCCUACAGUCAUUCCUUAAUGGCUGCCUCUGAUUGUCUUAGGUGUUCUGGUUUCGUUUGCCCAGCGAGAUGGCAAGAUUCUGUGAAUUCACCUCUGAGUUAUGUUUUAUUACCUGGCAGAGUAAGAGGCACAGGGGACAGGAGGUCAAAAGGCUUGGAUUCUCAAUCUGUUUUUUCCUAACUGGCCAUGGGAUCCUAGGUCAUAAUAAGAUUAAACUUGUACCAUGCCCAGACACUAUUCCCAGUGCAUUUUCAUGUACUCGUUCAUUUAUCCUAUCAGCCUGAUGAGAUGGGUUCUAUUAUUAGCCUCAGAGCUAAUAAUAACACAGAGAAGUUAGUUCAAGACCACACUGCUGUGUAUCUGCCUGCGAACCCAAGGCCUAAGUGCCCACAUGAACCACUCCACACUCUUGGGCUGAUACCAAGGUGCUCGUGAUUUUAUUCACCCCUAAGUGGAGGAGCUGGACUGUCCCUGAGUCCCUCCCAGCUCUGAUGUUCUGCUGCCCCCACCGGCACCUAGCAGAGAUAUCGCACAGCGGGUGGUCCGGUGCUACUCGGCCACGGACUGAUGGCUAAAUCAAGGAAUUGAGAUCAGACCAGAAUGGGUGCAACAGAACAAGGCGGGCAGACCCGUGCAAGUCGUGACCUAGGAGAAUGUCUCCGCUCAGAAAAGUGAUCAGGCUAAAGGGAAAAUGUUACAUGAUCCACUGUGCAUUCCUUUAUGUGUUUGGCCCUCUGUUUUGCCAAGCAAACGAGUGUGGGGAGAUGUGUUAAAGUCAGCAGAGGCUAGUUUAGCCUAAGAUGUUGAAAGGUGAAUUUCCUUACAUGGAAAAUGGUCGGGAAUUUGGGGGAAUAGAGUCUAACAACAGCAAAGAAGCAAGGACAAAGUCUCUUGAGCGGGUGUGGCCAAAAGAGUACAAAAUACUAAUGGGUGACUGGAAUUUUCCAUGGCUGCUGGAUCUUGGGAUGAUAAAGUCUGUUGUUCAAUUUUAAGUUGAUGCCUAUGCCAUUCCGUGUGGUCAUGCCCUUUGUUAGCACUAAACUAUCCAGAAAGCCUGUCACACACACAGUCUUUUGUGAGUGGUGCUUUGAGGGAAUGAAGGAAUAGGGACGGUGUGGACCAUGGAGAAAAACGGGGAAGAUGGAUGAUGGCGGCAGGAGAUAACACAGAGGGUAGAAAGAAGAAGUCCAGGGAAAGCAAGAAGAGGUGUCAGUGGAAAUGCAGGUCCUUAGGAAUCCUCAGAUAUAUUGGGUGAACACUUAAAGAAAUGCAGUUGACCAUAUCAAAGGACAGGAAGACCCUAGAGUCUGAGGGACUGGGACCCCCAAGGGGCUGACAUGUAGGUUAUUCAAGGUAAAAUGAGGUUAAGAUAGAAGACGGUAACCUGCAGAGUGUGAUUUCCCCCGUGAAGCCCAGUAAUAAAAUGGAAACCCCUUAAUCUACACAGAUUUUGAGAAAAAGAAGAAAGGUGAGGUAGCGUCUCCCAGAGGCUACAGCCAGGCAGGGGUUAGAAGAUGCGCUCGUCGUCAGACAAUCCUAGGGUCCUGCAUAUGUCCCGAAAGGGGUCCUCGAUUCUGAGGAAAGCUGGAAUUAGGAGGAUUUUCAAAGACGGCUGUCUGGGCCCACUGCCGAGAGAAAGGCUGGUGUAGCUGGUCCCAGAGGUGACCUGGGUGGGGUACUUUCAAAGCUCCUCAGGGGUUUUGAUGUGAUAGCCAAGACUGGAAACCACUGUCCUGUCCAGAGAGCAAUGUGGGAAGCACGCACCUGGGGCCAGGAGGCGGCUGGCAGUUCCACCGAAAGCUGAAAGCUUGUGUGUUCCUACAUUUCUUAGUGUUAAACUUAUUUUGUGGUGAUCACACUGUAUUAGGUAGCAUUAGGAAGUUAGCAUUAGGAACUUCAGGUGUGAAUAAAUACCCAGAAUAAUAAAUAUGGCUUUCCUUGCAUAAAAUCCUGGCAGGAACUUCCCCAGACAGAAAAUCUGCAGACAACGGAUCUCGGUGGCUGGAAGGUGCCUUUGGAUCUCUUGGCAUUUAGAUGAAAGAGGCUGAACACGAUGUGAUCAGCUCAGAGACCUGGGGACGCUCCAGCUCUCCUCAAAUAUCAACCCCUCCCCCUCCCCCACACACUAUUAGAAGUGAUCUAGUUUAAUCUCUGAUGUUCUAGAAUUUAAAACAAAAACAAAGAAACAACAAAAAAACUAAGAAGUGAAGUAAGUGUCUAGGCCAGGAAACCCAGCCAAAGGGGGUUUGGAAUCUUUGAACAACCAUCCCAAUGCUUUUUCCCUUAAACCUCUCCGUCCUUCAAAUGCAAGGGAUUAUGUGUAGGCGCCCUUAGGACAAGUAAUCUGACAUAAAUUCAUACUCAAGUGUACAUACCUAACAUAAAAUAUUUUGGGGGGGUGCCUGGGUGGCUCAGUUGGUUGAGCGGCCAACUUCGGCUCAGGUCAUGAUCUCGGAGUUCGAGCGCCGCUUCGGGCUCUGUGCUGAUAGCUCGGAGCCUGGAACCCACUUUGAGUUCUGGGUCUCCCUCUCUCUGUGCCCCUCCCCUGUUCACUCUGUCUGUCUGUCUGUCUGUCUCUCAAAUAUAAACAUUUUUUUAAAUUAAAAAAUAAAAGUACUUUCUUUCUGCAGGUUGUAAUAACCAGGUGAAUACAUAAAAAUGAGGAGCCUGAACAUGGAGAGUUAAGUGUCAAGACUGAUGGGAAAGGUCAAAGAAAGGGGGGUGAGCAGGGGGAGGACAGAGCCGACUUCACAACCUAGCCUAGUGUUGGGCCUCCAGAACCAAACACCAGGACCUGGACCCGCCCAGGACACUGCAAAAGGGAGAAGGAUGACUUAUGUUAAUGAGUGACACAUUUUAAAUGAUCAAGUGUCAAAAACCUCCCACUCACCCGGAGCUUAGAGGAAGCCCCUGAAGGCUACCCCAAGUGACUCAAUCCCAUUACUAAGAAUCACUUGCAGUAGGGCUAUUUCUGCUGCAUCCAAGAGGUUUUCAGUUACCUUCAGAGUCAACAGGAAAUUAAUCAGCAAGUAGAAUAUUGAAAGAAGAUCUGCAUCUCAGAGUCAUUAAAAUAAAAGCAGAUUUGGUCAAAUGGCAAGGUGCUUUUUUUUUUUUUUUUAAUCUCCUCCCCUCUGUUUUUAGUAAGUUGAAGAUUCUGAAACUUAAAUCCUGACCACCAGAGUCUCCUUGGAGGACAGGUACAUACUGUCCUAGGACCUACACCCCCACAAAACACACCAGCCCCGUCACCAUCCAAAUAGCUCUCCCCUUGCUUUCUCGAAAAGCCCCUGGAAACCUGACCACGUUGCCACACAGUCUAUUUAAAACUUCCUGAACACAUCUCGGGCCACAUCCCUGUCCUGUAUUGUUUGAUUUGCGUCUCCCCUCUAAGCUCUUGGGGGAAAGAGCCUUUUUUUUUCCCUUGUUUUGGAAUGAUUUUUAUUUAUUAUUAUAAGCCUGGGUGGAGAAUGUACUUCCUUGCUUAUCACACAGUUUAGUAGAAAUAUUAAAUAAUAAUAAUAGCUGGAUGCCGCAGAGAACACGAAACUCUGCCUAUCACGUAACCUUUGCUCUGCCAUCCGGAGUAUCUGAGGAAGCAGCUUCUCUGUCUUCCUUAUUACGAAAAGUAGAGAACCAGAGACCCUAAAUUCGAAAAGUGAUAUAUGGAAGGAUGGCAAGAAAAGUUUUCUCGUUCUCCUCUACUAGCUUCUGACUUACUGAUCUUAAAAAGUUCCCCUCUCCACCUGCCCCAAGGUGAUGGUCAAGUGGACAGACAGGAAGUCGAAUGAGUUUCCUAUGGGAUCCUAGUUAAGACCCUCGGGGUUGCAAAUAACAGAAACCAGCUCCAGUCGGCAUAAGCAAGUAGGAAGUUUAUUAGAGAAACCUUUGGGGUUUCUCACAGAACCCACAGGCAGUUCUCAGGGGCCUGCCAGGAAGUUCAGGCCUUGUUCUUUUGCUCUCUCGCUCUCUCUGUCUCUCUGCCUCUUAUCUUUGCUUCCUGGCCUCAUACUAAAUGUGAGAUUUAUGAAAGCAGGGAUUUUAUCUGGUUUGUUUCCUGCAGGCUCACCCACGCCUAGAACAGUGCCUGACAUAUGGUAUUUGCUCAGUCAGCAUUAAUCUGUGUACUUCUCAGCAAAGCAGCUUCCCGUGUCCCUCUGUGGGCAUGUUGAAGGCCGUCGGUGCACUAUACCCAAACUCCCAAAUUUGAAAUUCAGGCUUAUGAAUUCAAGUGUCCACCCCUGGUCCGUCUAGUCUGGCCAGAGGAUGGUGUUUUCUGCAAAUAGGAUCGGAGCUGAAAUGCUGUUUGCAUGAAAAGGGUCUUGGAGUUGGGCAGAUAGCAUCACACGUGUUUUCAACACUUAGGCAGGUACCCGUCAUCAGUGCAGAUAGUUUGUGGGAAGUGGGUACGCUCUGCUUCCCGAACAGAUCUAUCUUUUGCUGAAUAGCCAAGCAGAGGGAGCUCUGUAGCGUGAAACUUCCUUGCAACUUUGCUGAUAUUUUGUCAGCUAGUUUCUCUGUAGACAUCUCCAGGGAUUAAAAAAAAAAAAAAAAAGGCACUAUUUCUUAAGAGUUGUUUACUCCAUUUUAAAGCAAAUCUAAUUUUUUAGGAGAUCUGCCCGUGCAUGUUAUCUGUCUGACUUCAACCUCCUUUGGUCCUAGCUGUGUUUUUUAGGAUCACAGAGGGUUUUUCUUCUGUGACAAUCCUUAAACAACUCUUUGAAGAAAAUUAUCAUGUUAUUCUGGAGUCCUUUCCUUGGGGUAACCUGUCUGUCUGCAUGCUGCCUGCACGUUCGCUGUAGUGUGUCUACGAUUGCUUUUCUCUGAUUCCUUAAAGCAAUAGAAACAGCGGCUCAGUUGUGGUUGGAAGCUGGGCCUCUGAGACAUUGCACUGCGUGAUCUUGGUAACCUCCCCCCUCACAAAAAAAAGACAGAUUUCAUGGGAUCUUUUCAGGUACCCUUUGCAGAUACAACAGUCUUCAUCGGUGGUGACCUCUGGUUUGAGGAACACAGUGCUGCCUGCUGGGUGGACGGCUAAAGGAGUUAACGUGUAUCAGCUGGUUACUCUGGACCGUUGAAGACCUAAUUGGUACCCCAUAGCUAUCCCCAAGCUAAUGGUGUAUUUAUUAAAUUUGUAUAAUUAGUAUCUUUUAUAUCUUCUCUUUUUGAGACAAAAUACACUCUCUUCUGUUUUUUGUCUUUUUUGUACAAAACACACAUAAAGUGGUUUUGUUUUUGUUUUGUUUUGUUACACUUCAUCAUACCCUGGAACAAACACUUUGAGAGCAUUGAAUAUGUGUAAGGAAAUAUACUAGUUGUGGAGAUAACAGACGAAAGACCGGAUUUCUACCUUCAAAGAAUUCCUAAUGAAACAAGGAUGGAAAGCUGAGUACACAGAGGACUGUAGCCUAGGACGAGUGCUGUGACGGAGGCAUGGAUAAGAACCAUGAGCAUAUAGCAGGAGACGCACUCAACAGGAGUUGGGCAGAAGCUUGGAGAAGGGAGCCCUGGGGAACGCUGCCUGACAAAGGCUGUGCCUGAGAUGGGCCUCCAAGGAUGAGGAGGAAUCAGCCAGGGGAAGGAUGGGGGAGGGAGGAGCUGGGUAAACCAGGCAGAAGUUUUGCAUUUGUAAAGCUGUGGAGCAGACGGUAUGGUCUGGUAGGAGCAUAGCGGAAGCAAAGGAUAUGAGCUCCAGAGAGCAAGACGGAUCGAGCAGGACAGCUCCGUGUGGCCCAUAACCACCGGCUAGUGCUGUGGAGCAAACCAACCCUAAAGCCAGUGACUUCAGACAAUAAGCUGUUGGUACUAUUCAAGCGCCAACAGAUCAGCUGGGACGUUCUGCCCAACAGGGCCAGGGCUGUCCGAUCUCCACUGGGCUUGUUCACAUGUCAGUGGUCAGGUGGCCGAUUGGAGGCUGGCUGGUCUUGGGUGGCCUCAGUCACCUGCCCACAGUGUGUUGGCCGUCGGCUGGGUGUUGAGGUGGUGUGGUGUGUUUCUUAUCACACAGCAGGACAGCCUGGGAUUGGCACACAGUGGUGGCCCAGAGGAAGUGGAAACAUACUCGGCUGCAUAAGACCUAGGCUUGGAUCUGUCAUACCAUCACUUCUGCUCCGUGUUAUUAGCCAGAGCUAGUCACUAGACACUGCCCCCACCCCCCGCCCCAUUCAAGGAACAGGGACAUCUCUUGAUGGAAGAUGCUGCAAGGUCUUGGUGCAAAGAAUGUAUGUAUAGGAAGAGGUGAGUAAGUAUAGCCAUUUUUUGCAGCCAAUUCAGCACAAAGCUUAGAUCAUGGCAAUUUCCCUUGACAAAGAUGGGGAAACAUCAGGAGGAUAUUUUAUUAUGAAAAUUUUUAUUAAAGUCAUUCUUUUAAUUAAAUUUUAUAUAAAAUUCUAUUAAAACAUUGUAUUAUGAAAAUACUGAAAAUUUUAAGGCUUCAUUUCGAUUUACAUGCAACAUUAAAGCACAUUCUCCUUUAAAAAAAGAAAAAGGAUAGGGGUGCCUGGGUGGCUCAGUAGGUUAAACAUCCGACUCUUGCUUGUGGCUCAGGUCAUGAUCUCAUGGUUCAUGAGAUCAAGCUCCACACUGAACUCUGUGCUGACAGCAUGGAGCCUGCUUGGGAUUCUGUCUCUCCCUCUCUCUUUUUCCCCCUCCUCCAUUUGUUCUCUCUCUUUCUCUCUCUCUCUCUCUC
Molecule: long non-coding RNA, 9856 nt
Organism: Acinonyx jubatus (cheetah)
Lineage: Eukaryota; Metazoa; Chordata; Mammalia; Carnivora; Felidae
Exons: 2
Source: RefSeq, a predicted model, not a curated record